UCAAGGAGUAGUUUAAGUAGAAUUUCAGCUUUGGGUGUUGAAGGUAAGACUUGGUGUCUUCUCCUUGA
Molecule: transfer RNA, 68 nt
Filed under: Anoura geoffroyi (Geoffroy's tailless bat)
Lineage: Eukaryota; Metazoa; Chordata; Mammalia; Chiroptera; Phyllostomidae
Description: tRNA-Pro
Source: RNAcentral